This 2906-nucleotide ribosomal RNA is filed under the name Escherichia coli HM605. RNAcentral's name for it is "bacterial LSU rRNA". It matches the Rfam family "Bacterial large subunit ribosomal RNA". RNAcentral also lists the same sequence under 1 other name. The record is from RNAcentral. Lineage: Bacteria; Pseudomonadati; Pseudomonadota; Gammaproteobacteria; Enterobacterales; Enterobacteriaceae.
GGUUAAGCGACUAAGCGUACACGGUGGAUGCCCUGGCAGUCAGAGGCGAUGAAGGACGUGCUAAUCUGCGAUAAGCGUCGGUGAGGUGAUAUGAACCGUUAUAACCGGCGAUUUCCGAAUGGGGAAACCCAGUGUGUUUCGACACACUAUCAUUAACUGAAUCCAUAGGUUAAUGAGGCGAACCGGGGGAACUGAAACAUCUAAGUACCCCGAGGAAAAGAAAUCAACCGAGAUUCCCCCAGUAGCGGCGAGCGAACGGGGAGGAGCCCAGAGCCUGAAUCAGUGUGUGUGUUAGUGGAAGCGUCUGGAAAGGCGCGCGAUACAGGGUGACAGCCCCGUACACAAAAAUGCACAUAUUGUGAGCUCGAUGAGUAGGGCGGGACACGUGGUAUCCUGUCUGAAUAUGGGGGGACCAUCCUCCAAGGCUAAAUACUCCUGACUGACCGAUAGUGAACCAGUACCGUGAGGGAAAGGCGAAAAGAACCCCGGCGAGGGGAGUGAAAAAGAACCUGAAACCGUGUACGUACAAGCAGUGGGAGCCUCUUUAUGGGGUGACUGCGUACCUUUUGUAUAAUGGGUCAGCGACUUAUAUUCUGUAGCAAGGUUAACCGAAUAGGGGAGCCGAAGGGAAACCGAGUCUUAACUGGGCGUUAAGUUGCAGGGUAUAGACCCGAAACCCGGUGAUCUAGCCAUGGGCAGGUUGAAGGUUGGGUAACACUAACUGGAGGACCGAACCGACUAAUGUUGAAAAAUUAGCGGAUGACUUGUGGCUGGGGGUGAAAGGCCAAUCAAACCGGGAGAUAGCUGGUUCUCCCCGAAAGCUAUUUAGGUAGCGCCUCGUGAAUUCAUCUCCGGGGGUAGAGCACUGUUUCGGCAAGGGGGUCAUCCCGACUUACCAACCCGAUGCAAACUGCGAAUACCGGAGAAUGUUAUCACGGGAGACACACGGCGGGUGCUAACGUCCGUCGUGAAGAGGGAAACAACCCAGACCGCCAGCUAAGGUCCCAAAGUCAUGGUUAAGUGGGAAACGAUGUGGGAAGGCCCAGACAGCCAGGAUGUUGGCUUAGAAGCAGCCAUCAUUUAAAGAAAGCGUAAUAGCUCACUGGUCGAGUCGGCCUGCGCGGAAGAUGUAACGGGGCUAAACCAUGCACCGAAGCUGCGGCAGCGACACUAUGUGUUGUUGGGUAGGGGAGCGUUCUGUAAGCCUGUGAAGGUGGCCUGUGAGGGUUGCUGGAGGUAUCAGAAGUGCGAAUGCUGACAUAAGUAACGAUAAAGCGGGUGAAAAGCCCGCUCGCCGGAAGACCAAGGGUUCCUGUCCAACGUUAAUCGGGGCAGGGUGAGUCGACCCCUAAGGCGAGGCCGAAAGGCGUAGUCGAUGGGAAACAGGUUAAUAUUCCUGUACUUGGUGUUACUGCGAAGGGGGGACGGAGAAGGCUAUGUUGGCCGGGCGACGGUUGUCCCGGUUUAAGCGUGUAGGCUGGUUUUCCAGGCAAAUCCGGAAAACCAAGGCUGAGGCGUGAUGACGAGGCACUACGGUGCUGAAGCGACAAAUGCCCUGCUUCCAGGAAAAGCCUCUAAGCAUCAGGUAACAUCAAAUCGUACCCCAAACCGACACAGGUGGUCAGGUAGAGAAUACCAAGGCGCUUGAGAGAACUCGGGUGAAGGAACUAGGCAAAAUGGUGCCGUAACUUCGGGAGAAGGCACGCUGAUAUGUAGGUGAAGCGACUUGCUCGUGGAGCUGAAAUCAGUCGAAGAUACCAGCUGGCUGCAACUGUUUAUUAAAAACACAGCACUGUGCAAACACGAAAGUGGACGUAUACGGUGUGACGCCUGCCCGGUGCCGGAAGGUUAAUUGAUGGGGUUAGCGGUAACGCGAAGCUCUUGAUCGAAGCCCCGGUAAACGGCGGCCGUAACUAUAACGGUCCUAAGGUAGCGAAAUUCCUUGUCGGGUAAGUUCCGACCUGCACGAAUGGCGUAAUGAUGGCCAGGCUGUCUCCACCCGAGACUCAGUGAAAUUGAACUCGCUGUGAAGAUGCAGUGUACCCGCGGCAAGACGGAAAGACCCCGUGAACCUUUACUAUAGCUUGACACUGAACAUUGAGCCUUGAUGUGUAGGAUAGGUGGGAGGCUUUGAAGUGUGGACGCCAGUCUGCAUGGAGCCGACCUUGAAAUACCACCCUUUAAUGUUUGAUGUUCUAACGUUGGCCCGUAAUCCGGGUUGCGGACAGUGUCUGGUGGGUAGUUUGACUGGGGCGGUCUCCUCCUAAAGAGUAACGGAGGAGCACGAAGGUUGGCUAAUCCUGGUCGGACAUCAGGAGGUUAGUGCAAUGGCAUAAGCCAGCUUGACUGCGAGCGUGACGGCGCGAGCAGGUGCGAAAGCAGGUCAUAGUGAUCCGGUGGUUCUGAAUGGAAGGGCCAUCGCUCAACGGAUAAAAGGUACUCCGGGGAUAACAGGCUGAUACCGCCCAAGAGUUCAUAUCGACGGCGGUGUUUGGCACCUCGAUGUCGGCUCAUCACAUCCUGGGGCUGAAGUAGGUCCCAAGGGUAUGGCUGUUCGCCAUUUAAAGUGGUACGCGAGCUGGGUUUAGAACGUCGUGAGACAGUUCGGUCCCUAUCUGCCGUGGGCGCUGGAGAACUGAGGGGGGCUGCUCCUAGUACGAGAGGACCGGAGUGGACGCAUCACUGGUGUUCGGGUUGUCAUGCCAAUGGCACUGCCCGGUAGCUAAAUGCGGAAGAGAUAAGUGCUGAAAGCAUCUAAGCACGAAACUUGCCCCGAGAUGAGUUCUCCCUGAGACUUAGAGUCUCCUGAAGGAACGUUGAAGACGACGACGUUGAUAGGCCGGGUGUGUAAGCGCAGCGAUGCGUUGAGCUAACCGGUACUAAUGAACCGUGAGGCUUAACCUUAC